GACGAACGCUGGCGGCGUGCUUAACACAUGCAAGUCGAACGGAAAGGCCCCUUUGGGGGUACUCGAGUGGCGAACGGGUGAGUAACACGUGAGUAACCUGCCCUUGACUUCGGGAUAACUUCAGGAAACUGGGGCUAAUACCGGAUAGGAAUCCUUGCUGCAUGGUGGGGGUUGGAAAGCUUCGGCGGUUUUGGAUGGACUCGCGGCUUAUCAGCUUGUUGGUGGGGUAGUGGCUUACCAAGGCUUUGACGGGUAGCCGGCCUGAGAGGGCGACCGGCCACAUUGGGACUGAGAUACGGCCCAGACUCCGACGGGAGGCAGAAGUGGGGAAUAUUGCACAAUGGGCGGAAGCCUGAUGCAGCAACGCCGCGUGCGGGAUGACGGCCUUCGGGUUGUAAACCGCUUUCAGCAGGGGCGAAGCUUGUGGUGACGGUACCUGCAGAAGAAGCACCGGCUAACUACGUG
RNAcentral lists this ribosomal RNA (465 nucleotides) under uncultured bacterium. Its description in RNAcentral is "partial 16S ribosomal RNA". It matches the Rfam family "Bacterial small subunit ribosomal RNA", at positions 28 to 507 of the family's 1533-position model. The record is from RNAcentral.